RNAcentral lists this ribosomal RNA (1438 nucleotides) under Limosilactobacillus fermentum. Its description in RNAcentral is "bacterial SSU rRNA". It matches the Rfam family "Bacterial small subunit ribosomal RNA". The record is from RNAcentral. Lineage: Bacteria; Bacillati; Bacillota; Bacilli; Lactobacillales; Lactobacillaceae.
UGCAGUCGAACGCGUUGGCCCAAUUGAUUGAUGGUGCUUGCACCUGAUUGAUUUUGGUCGCCAACGAGUGGCGGACGGGUGAGUAACACGUAGGUAACCUGCCCAGAAGCGGGGGACAACAUUUGGAAACAGAUGCUAAUACCGCAUAACAGCGUUGUUCGCAUGAACAACGCUUAAAAGAUGGCUUCUCGCUAUCACUUCUGGAUGGACCUGCGGUGCAUUAGCUUGUUGGUGGGGUAACGGCCUACCAAGGCGAUGAUGCAUAGCCGAGUUGAGAGACUGAUCGGCCACAAUGGGACUGAGACACGGCCCAUACUCCUACGGGAGGCAGCAGUAGGGAAUCUUCCACAAUGGGCGCAAGCCUGAUGGAGCAACACCGCGUGAGUGAAGAAGGGUUUCGGCUCGUAAAGCUCUGUUGUUAAAGAAGAACACGUAUGAGAGUAACUGUUCAUACGUUGACGGUAUUUAACCAGAAAGUCACGGCUAACUACGUGCCAGCAGCCGCGGUAAUACGUAGGUGGCAAGCGUUAUCCGGAUUUAUUGGGCGUAAAGAGAGUGCAGGCGGUUUUCUAAGUCUGAUGUGAAAGCCUUCGGCUUAACCGGAGAAGUGCAUCGGAAACUGGAUAACUUGAGUGCAGAAGAGGGUAGUGGAACUCCAUGUGUAGCGGUGGAAUGCGUAGAUAUAUGGAAGAACACCAGUGGCGAAGGCGGCUACCUGGUCUGCAACUGACGCUGAGACUCGAAAGCAUGGGUAGCGAACAGGAUUAGAUACCCUGGUAGUCCAUGCCGUAAACGAUGAGUGCUAGGUGUUGGAGGGUUUCCGCCCUUCAGUGCCGGAGCUAACGCAUUAAGCACUCCGCCUGGGGAGUACGACCGCAAGGUUGAAACUCAAAGGAAUUGACGGGGGCCCGCACAAGCGGUGGAGCAUGUGGUUUAAUUCGAAGCUACGCGAAGAACCUUACCAGGUCUUGACAUCUUGCGCCAACCCUAGAGAUAGGGCGUUUCCUUCGGGAACGCAAUGACAGGUGGUGCAUGGUCGUCGUCAGCUCGUGUCGUGAGAUGUUGGGUUAAGUCCCGCAACGAGCGCAACCCUUGUUACUAGUUGCCAGCAUUAAGUUGGGCACUCUAGUGAGACUGCCGGUGACAAACCGGAGGAAGGUGGGGACGACGUCAGAUCAUCAUGCCCCUUAUGACCUGGGCUACACACGUGCUACAAUGGACGGUACAACGAGUCGCGAACUCGCGAGGGCAAGCAAAUCUCUUAAAACCGUUCUCAGUUCGGACUGCAGGCUGCAACUCGCCUGCACGAAGUCGGAAUCGCUAGUAAUCGCGGAUCAGCAUGCCGCGGUGAAUACGUUCCCGGGCCUUGUACACACCGCCCGUCACACCAUGAGAGUUUGUAACACCCAAAGUCGGUGGGGUAACCUUUUAGGAGCCA